AGUGCAGGUUAUAGAGAGCCAGAGAGAGCGUACUGCUCAGGGAGUGCUGGUUAUAGAGAGUCAGAGAGAGCGUACUGCUCAGGGAGUGAAGGUUAUAGAGAGUCGGAGAGAGCGUACUGCUCAGGGAGUGCAAGUUAUAGAGAGCCAGAGAGAGUGUACUGCUCAGGGAGUGAAGGUUAUAGAGAGCCGGAGACAGUGUACUGCUCAGGGAGUGAAGGUUAUAGAGAGCCGGAGAGAGUGUACUGCUCAGGGAGUGAAGGUUAUAGAGAGUCAGAGAGAGAGUACUGCUCAGGGAGUGAAGGUUAUAGAGAGUCAGAGAGAGAGUACUGCUCAGGGAGUGAAGGUUAUAGAGAGCCAGAGAGGAGUGCUCAGGGAGUGCUGGUUAUAGAGAGUCAGAGAGAGCGUACUGCUCAGGGAGUGAAGGUUAUAGAGAGUCAGAGAGAGCGUACUGCUCAGGGAGUGCGAGUUAUAGAGAGCCAGAGAGAGCGUACUGCUCAGGGAGUGAAGGUUAUAGAGAGCCGGAGAGAGCGUACUGCCUAGGGAGUGCUGGUUAUAGAGAGUCAGAGAGAGCGUACUGCUCAGGGAGUGAAGGUUAUAGAGAGCCGGAGAGAGCGUACUGCUUAGGGAGUGCUGGUUAUAGAGAGUCAGAGAGAUCGUACUGCUCAGGGAGUGAAGGUUAUAGAGAGCUGGAGAGAGCGUACUGCUCAGGGAGUGCGAUUUAUAGAGAGCCGGAGAGAGUGUACUGGUCAGGGAGUGCAGGUUAUAGAGAGCCAGAGAGAGUGUACUGCUCAGGGAGUGCAUGUUAUAGAGAGACAGAGAGAGUAUACUGCUCAGGGAGUGCAGGUUAUAGAGAGCCGGAGAGAGUGUACUGCUCAGGGAGUGCAGGUUAUAGAGAGACAGAGAGAGUAUACUGCUCAUGGAGUGCAUGUUAUAGAGAGCCGGAGAGAGCGUACUGCUCAGGGAGUGCAAGUUAUAGUGAGCCAGAGAGAGCGUACUGCUCAGGGAGCGCAGGUUAUAGAGAGACAGAGAGAGUAUACUGCUCAGGGAGUGCAGGUUAUAGAGAGCUGGAAGCGUACUGCUCAGGGAGGUACGAUUAUAGAGAGCCAGAGAGAGCGUACUGCUCAAGGAGUGCAGGUUAUAGAGAGCCAGAGAGAGUGUACUGCUCAGGGAGUGCAGGUUAUAAAGAGCCGGAGAGAGCGUACUGCUCAGGGAGUGCAGGUUAUAGAGAGCCGGAGAGAGCGUACUGCUCAGGGAGUGCAAGUUAUAGAGAGCCAGAGAGAGCGUACUGCUCAGGGAGCGCAGGUUAUAGAGAGACAGAGAGAGUAUACUGCUCAGGGAGUGCAGGUUAUAGAGAGCUGGAGAGAGCGUACUGCUCAGGGAGUGCAGGUUAUAGAGAGCCAGAGAGAGUGUACUGCUCAGGGAGUGCAGGUUAUAGAGAGACAGAGAGAGCGUACUGCUCAGGGAGUGCAGGUUAUAGAGAGACAGAGAGAGUGUACUGCUCAGGGAGUGCAGGUUAUAGAGAGCUGGAGAGAGUGUACUGCUUAGGG
Molecule: long non-coding RNA, 1547 nt
Filed under: Pelobates cultripes (western spadefoot toad)
Lineage: Eukaryota; Metazoa; Chordata; Amphibia; Anura; Pelobatidae
Source: RNAcentral